UCCUCUCCGCCUUCAUUCCCGCUUCUGCCUCUGGUGGUCUUAUUUUCUCCCAACUCUAUCGGUUCCCUGUGUCGUUUCUUCGUCUUCAAACAAGGUGCGGAGUUCUUGGGCUUUAUUCCACUUUGGCAAUUAAACUUGCAAAGAAAUUGUCGAGAAGAGAAACAAGGAUGGCCGUCGUGGAGAAGUUGAUAGAGUUAUACCUAAUCCGCGGUGCGACGACCUCUGUCUGUGGGUGUGGUGGUAGGGACACUUUUUUCGCGACAACGGUGUUUCAGCGUCUUCACGGUGAGUUUCCGGUGACUCAGGCGCGGCGUUUGCACGACGCGAGGAUCUCGUUCUCCAGCGUUUUAGCAACAGUAGAAACUUGGAUGGAAUUCGCGAUUGAUUUAGGGUUUGAAUUCGGGUUCUGUUUUUAGAGAUUUGAAUGGGGUUUUCUUUCGGUGUCUCAUGAUUUUGGGUAUGGCCGUGGAGGAGAAGAAAUUUCAGGUACAUAUUGCAGUCAAGAUGUUGCUACCAAAGUUCUGAAUAUGGAUCUGGAUAACUGAUUUUCCUUUGUUUGAGUGGAAUGAUCCAGAGUAUAGGGUCGAGAUUGAACCACAACUUUUAUAUGGAAAGAAUGUUAUGAUUUCAGCCCAUGGGAAUUCAUAGAGAUCCAUUAUCAUGUACCUUGAUAAAUUAACUUCCCAAGAGGUCAUUAGUUUGGAAUUGUCAACUGGAAUUCCCAUGCUUUACAUUUUCAAAGAAGGAAGAUUCAUUACGAGGGAAGUCUCAUAAGGCCUUCUGAAGCUGGAGUUUAUGCCUAUACAAAGUUUCCAUCAACCUUGUUUUCCUUCAUUCUCCAGUUGUUUUUUAGUGGUGGUUUGGUAUCAUUCUGAGAGCAGGCAGCACUUCAACCCCAAGUUUGAAAAAUGUUUAUUACUGGUUUUUUCUUCUUGUUAUAUUAAUAUAUGUUUUGGUUUUUUCUUCUUGAUAUACACGCUUCUCUUUCUUUUUCGAUUUUGUUUCCUCUGCUCUAUCCUUUUCUAUCUUCUAUUUGUUUCUAUUCCAGUCGCUUGUGUUAAUUAUCUGACAAAUUUGAUUUGUCCAAAUGUUUUGAAAGGAACAAUAUGAAACAACAUUGCAGAUUUGAUGUUAGUGUUCCCCUUUCCCCCAACAUAUCUCAUUUUCUUAAAUUUUCUCCUGGAAAGUCUCAUCAAGAAGGUAAACAUGAUGUUUAAACUGUCAUAUAAACGUGGUUACAAACUCAAAAAGUGAUAAAUUUGAUUUGACCAAAUGUUGCUGCCAAACAAAGUCUUUUGUUUCUGUAUACACGUUAUGAAUUUUCCUUGUGCAUGUCAUGAACUUGUAGGAAUUGUUUAGAAAAGAGACAAACAUACUCUGCCAACGUUAAUGUUCCUGUUUUUUAUAUUUCAAUGAUAAGUCUCAACUUGAAAGAGUACAAAACCUUGGCAAUCAUGAAUCACCCAUGUGCUCUAUAGAUUUAAACGUGAGUUAUAUAGCCCUUCCCAUUGUAUUUUGGCUUAAAUUGAUAAAAAAAAUGCUCAUAUUUAUGUUUGUGUUAACCAAUUGGACAUGAUUUUACAUCAGUGGCAGUGCUUCAAACUCUAGCAUUAUAUUUUAAUACUUUUUCUAAUCGUUUUCUUAGAUUCCUCAUUUAAUAUAACUACACAGCAAUCAGGCAGGAUAGCACUUCGAUUCUAGACUUUUUAGAAUGCUCAAUAUUUCCUCAAAAAAUUACUUUUUAGUCUAGUAUUUAUAGGAAUAAAAUUAAUACGUUUCUUAAAAGUUUCUAAAAAGAAGACUGAGUUUUAUUUUUAGUAAUGAAAAGACAGAGCUAGGUAUCGGUAAGAAAAAAUGUAUUGGAUAAAGAAACGUGAAAGAAAAGAGUAAGGGCAACACUUACAAUAAUCUUAUAUUUUUCUACAAAUUUCUUCACUAACAAAUAACAAUAAAUAUUUCCCAUUUUAGAAAUAUCAACCUUAUUUAUUUAGGAGGUGCAUAUUACUUAUUAUUAUGUAGAUACGUAUGAGGAGGUGUAACAUAUACUAUAUAAUAUAUAAAAGAAAGGGUUAUCCUUUGUAACAUGGAUCUCAACCUUCAUUUUGACUACUGAAUAAUGAACGGGACUGCCAACAGACAUUCAAUCCCAUUCAGAAAUUAAAAUACGUUUAUGUCUACCUAGGUCUGUUAGUGGAGUUUAAUCGACAAGUUAAAAAUACAGUCUUCACUAUUUUAUCAUUAAAAAAAUCAUGUGAUUCAAGUGUUUUAUCAUGUGAUUCAAUAUAAUUUCGGUUCAUCCAGCUCCCUUAUUUUCUAGACAUAUUCUCCUAUACCUGCACACAGUUUCUUGGCAUCGAGUCUAUGUGGGAUGUCCAGGUAAUUGUCACUUCUAUUAUAACUGUCACUUAUAUUAUAAAUACCAAUCCUGCCUACAUGAUAAUGUUAAUGUUUAAAUUUGCCUUGUGCUAUUGCCUAGUCAAAUCUCAAACCUAACUGGACCAUACUUAAGCUGUGGCCAAAUGGAAAAUAUUGAAGUUAAUUUAGAAAUUAACUCCCUGUUCUCUUUGAGCUAUUGCUAUUAUGAAGUUUAUUGGUUUUUAGGUAGGGUAGGCAGAAGAGAGGAGAUAGGCUAGUGAAUAAUAUGAAUUGGUAUACCAAAUUAAAGCAAUAUCUUUUAUUAGUUCUGAUACUAGAUUUACAAUUCUAAUUGAAUAAGAAAAUUUCUGGCUAGGAGUUAUAAUGGAAAAAGAACUUUAACUUCUAUAACAUAUAGUGUAAAAACUUAGGAGACCUUAAAAAUUUGGAAAGAUGACCAACAAAUUGUAUUUGGGGCUGGUGUGAAUCAUGACCAAAUCCAAUCUCCUGAAGAAUGGCAGGAAGAGCGUCAUCAUCAAUCUAUCAAUCAGUACAAAGUCACUACUGAAAUGAUCAUUAGCUGAAAAAGAAGUUUGGGUAGUUUGAAUAUGAUCACAGGGAAAAGUAAUGAUAAUUUUCUUUUAUAUUAUAAUUAGAAUAUUACGUAUUCUCCAUUCAUGUUAACAUAUCUUGCAUUGUGCAAAAGAAUAACUUUGUUUCUUUAUUAAAUCAAUUUAUAUUAUUUUGCUUAUUAUAUAAUUGUAAAAAUAUAUACUUAACUACGCUUUAACUAGUUAUUUCUUUCUUGUAAAAAUAUAUAAUUGUAAAAAUCAAUUCUUUCUUGCUUAUUUUCCUUCAUGUACUUUGGGAUAUAGGCUGCAGAGCUACUCAAGAACUAAUAUCUUCAACCUUAUGUUCUUAAGGUCCAUCUCAAAAUCAAUUGCCCAAGGCGAAGUUCUUUGCCAGGUCUUUGGCAAGAAUCUAACUACAUGAAGAAAGCUAGAUUUUUGAAGUGAGAAGAUGAUCGUGUUUCUGUUUCUGGGUAUAAGUGGCAUUCUAUUAGCAAUGAUAGGACUUUAAAUCCCAAAUGUAUCAGGA
Long non-coding RNA from Vigna radiata var. radiata (mung bean), 3453 nucleotides. RefSeq lists it as uncharacterized. The record is from RefSeq and is a predicted model, not a curated record. NCBI's taxonomy places the organism in Eukaryota, Viridiplantae, Streptophyta, Magnoliopsida, Fabales, Fabaceae. The transcript has 5 exons.